ACGAAGGGGGCUAGCGUUGUUCGGAAUUACUGGGCGUAAAGCGCACGUAGGCGGACAUUUAAGUCAGGGGUGAAAUCCCGGGGCUCAACCUCGGAACUGCCUUUGAUACUGGGUGUCUAGAGUAUGGAAGAGGUAAGUGGAAUUGCGAGUGUAGAGGUGAGAUUCGUAGAUAUUCGCAGGAACACCAGUGGCGAAGGCGGCUUACUGGUCCGAUACUGACACUGAGGCACGAAAGCGUGGGGAGCAAACAGGA
This 253-nucleotide ribosomal RNA is filed under the name uncultured prokaryote. RNAcentral's name for it is "partial 16S ribosomal RNA". It matches the Rfam family "Bacterial small subunit ribosomal RNA", at positions 525 to 777 of the family's 1533-position model. The record is from RNAcentral.